Molecule: ribosomal RNA, 491 nt
Filed under: Streptococcus intermedius
Lineage: Bacteria; Bacillati; Bacillota; Bacilli; Lactobacillales; Streptococcaceae
Description: bacterial SSU rRNA
Rfam family: Bacterial small subunit ribosomal RNA
Source: RNAcentral
GACGAACGCUGGCGGCGUGCCUAAUACAUGCAAGUAGAACGCACAGGAUGCACCGUAGUUUACUACACCGUAUUCUGUGAGUUGCGAACGGGUGAGUAACGCGUAGGUAACCUGCCUGGUAGCGGGGGAUAACUAUUGGAAACGAUAGCUAAUACCGCAUAAGAACAUUUACUGCAUGGUAGAUGUUUAAAAGGUGCAAAUGCAUCACUACCAGAUGGACCUGCGUUGUAUUAGCUAGUAGGUGAGGUAACGGCUCACCUAGGCGACGAUACAUAGCCGACCUGAGAGGGUGAUCGGCCACACUGGGACUGAGACACGGCCCAGACUCCUACGGGAGGCAGCAGUAGGGAAUCUUCGGCAAUGGGGGGAACCCUGACCGAGCAACGCCGCGUGAGUGAAGAAGGUUUUCGGAUCGUAAAGCUCUGUUGUUAAGGAAGAACGAGUGUGAGAAUGGAAAGUUCAUACUGUGACGGUACUUAACCAGAAAGGAC